RNAcentral lists this ribosomal RNA (213 nucleotides) under Triticum aestivum (bread wheat). RNAcentral's name for it is "partial small subunit ribosomal RNA". Lineage: Eukaryota; Viridiplantae; Streptophyta; Magnoliopsida; Poales; Poaceae. The record is from RNAcentral.
AUGAAAAUAUUAUGUUGGAACUGCCGUGGGAUGAGGAAGCCUGCGGUAGUUCGUGCGCUCUUGGGGAUCCAAGGGCGGGUGAGACCAGAUGUACUUUUUCUGUCUGAAGCACAUAUGAGCAAAGCAAAGGCAGAAAAACUUAGGAGAAGGCUUGGUUUUGACGCAGUGGCAGUGUCAGAAAGUGAUGGAAGGAGUGGUGGUCUUGUAAUGUUC